RNAcentral lists this long non-coding RNA (247 nucleotides) under Elaeis guineensis (African oil palm). RNAcentral's name for it is "long non-coding RNA (EGUI_LNC057848)". Lineage: Eukaryota; Viridiplantae; Streptophyta; Magnoliopsida; Arecales; Arecaceae. The record is from RNAcentral.
CAUCUGAUACCCUAAGGUUGAGAUGGGGUUGGGUCCAAUAACUGUUAGGUGAGGGAUCCAAUAACGGCUCUAUGCCCACUGGUGAAUGGUGGGUCUGAUUUAACUAAAAAAUAUGCCAAUAACUGCUAGGUGAGGCCACAAAACUUAGAGAUCAAAUCCAUUGUAUCUUGCUUGGUGAAGUAAUGGAUAAGGUGUUGUCCACUCAUUGGUUCAUGUGUCAUCAAUAACUGUUAGGUGAGGUGCACAC